AUCUAGCUGACGAGUCCCAAAUAGAACAAAACAUGAGUCCUCGAU
Schistosoma haematobium is the source of this 45-nucleotide non-coding RNA. NCBI's taxonomy places the organism in Eukaryota, Metazoa, Platyhelminthes, Trematoda, Strigeidida, Schistosomatidae. The record is from Rfam.